AUGUUUGCCGCGACUGUUACAGUGCUAAGAAGUGUAGCAGCUGAUCGUUCAGCUACAAGGAACUCAAGAGGUGAUGUCGGAGGUGCCAUGAAAAUCCUACUGACAUUUGAUUUUGUGUUCAUUCUACACUUAAUGGAAAGAAUCAUGAAAAUCAUGGAUGUCUUGUGUCUCAAACUUCAACAUAAAUCUUUGGACAUUGCAAAUGCAUUAGAUUGUGUUUCUAACACAAAGGUGUUGCUUGGUGAACUAAGAGAAGAUGGAUGGGACAACCUUUUUGAAGAUGUGAAAUCCUUUUAUGUGAAACAUGAGAUUGACAUCCCAGACAUGGAUCAAAAGUAUGUUGAUGUGACGAAAUCUCCAAAUAAGCAUGACAACACCACAAUUAUCCAUCAUUACAAAGUAGAUGUGUUUAAUGUUGCAAUAGAUCAACAAGUGAUAGAGUUGAAUGAUCGAUUCAGUUCUCAAGUUACUGAGCUUCUAGAUCUUUGUUCAUCAUUGGACCCGAGGCAUGAUGCCUUCAUAAAGUCAAAGAUAUGCAGACUAGUGGAGAAAUUCUAUCCUGCAGAUUUUUCUAGUCAAGAAAGAGAUCGGUUGGAGUGCGAGCUACCACAUUUCCACCUUGAUACAUUCAACCAUCCAGAGAUCAAGAACUGCAAAUCACUUGCUGAUCUAACAAAAGGGAUAGUUAAGACUGGCAAGUCUUCUGACUAUCCAAUGGUUGAGAGGCUAUUACGAUUGGUGAUAACUCUUCCGAUGUCAACUGCAACAGCAGAGCGAGCCUUUUCUACAAUGAAACUAGUCAAGACGCGGCUUCGAAGCAAAAUGGGAGAUGAUUUUCUUUGUCAUUGCACGCUAGUUUACAUUAAGGAGGAACUUGCAGCCAAGUUUAGCUCUUAA
Molecule: ribosomal RNA, 897 nt
Filed under: Triticum aestivum (bread wheat)
Lineage: Eukaryota; Viridiplantae; Streptophyta; Magnoliopsida; Poales; Poaceae
Description: partial small subunit ribosomal RNA
Source: RNAcentral